This is a long non-coding RNA of Quercus lobata, 515 nucleotides long. RefSeq lists it as uncharacterized. The record is from RefSeq and is a predicted model, not a curated record. NCBI's taxonomy places the organism in Eukaryota, Viridiplantae, Streptophyta, Magnoliopsida, Fagales, Fagaceae. The transcript has 2 exons.
AAAAUGAAGAAGCUCUAAGCAUAGAGAUAAAUUGAAUUGUUCAACAAAAAAAGAGAGAGAUUCUAAGAUGGCUGCAGUACCAUGCAAACGCCUUAUUCUUGUGGCCUUCAUCAUUCUUUGCCUUUUCUCUACCACAACUAGAGCACGCAAUUUGCGAGUGGUAAGUAAAGGAUCCCAGAUGAGCCAUGAUGGUCCAUCAUCACCUAAAGAAGAGAGGAUUCCGGAAGUUGAUGUUGAUUACACUCCAGCAAGAAGGAAGCCUCCAAUACAUAACUAAAAUGCAAAUUUUGUUAAACAAGCAGUGGUUUAGUUAUUAAUGUUCCUAGUAUAGCUAGUUUGAGCGCAUAUGUAGCUUGAUAUAUAUAUUGCAGAAAUGUGAUUGGGGAAGAAAAAAAUUGAUCAUGUAAAAAUGUAAGCGGGAAAUAGAUCUGGUACUAUAUAUAUAUUAUCUUUGGAUCUUUUGCAAACUAGGGUUAUGGAAAGUUUUAUAUAGAAAAGCUGACUGUAACAUGCUA